RNAcentral lists this ribosomal RNA (515 nucleotides) under bacterium A5T_VP6_F6. RNAcentral's name for it is "bacterial SSU rRNA". It matches the Rfam family "Bacterial small subunit ribosomal RNA", at positions 337 to 844 of the family's 1533-position model. The record is from RNAcentral.
UAAUACGGGAGGCAGCAGUGGGGAAUAUUGCACAAUGGGCGCAAGCCUGAUGCAGCCAUGCCGCGUGUAUGAAGAAGGCCUUCGGGUUGUAAAGUACUUUCAGCAGUGAGGAAGGUAGUAGUGUUAAUAGCACUAUUAUUUGACGUUAGCUGCAGAAGAAGCACCGGCUAACUCCGUGCCAGCAGCCGCGGUAAUACGGAGGGUGCGAGCGUUAAUCGGAAUUACUGGGCGUAAAGCGCAUGCAGGUGGAUGAUUAAGUCAGAUGUGAAAGCCCGGGGCUCAACCUCGGAAUAGCAUUUGAAACUGGUCAUCUAGAGUACUGUAGAGGGGGGUAGAAUUUCAGGUGUAGCGGUGAAAUGCGUAGAGAUCUGAAGGAAUACCGGUGGCGAAGGCGGCCCCCUGGACAGAUACUGACACUCAGAUGCGAAAGCGUGGGGAGCAAACAGGAUUAGAUACCCUGGUAGUCCACGCCGUAAACGAUGUCUACUUGGAGGUUGUGGCCUUGAGCCGUGGCU